CACACCGCCCGUCACGCCAUGAAAGCUGUUUGCACCCAAAGACUUCUUAGCUAACUCGUAAGAGAGGCGGAGGUUUAAGGUGUGGGCAGUGAUUGGGGCG
This 100-nucleotide ribosomal RNA is filed under the name uncultured bacterium. RNAcentral describes it as "partial 16S ribosomal RNA". It matches the Rfam family "Bacterial small subunit ribosomal RNA", at positions 1386 to 1482 of the family's 1533-position model. The record is from RNAcentral.